UACAGAGGGGGCAAGCGUUGUUCGGAAUUACUGGGCGUAAAGGGCGCGUAGGCGGCCCGCUAAGUCGAACGUGAAAUCCCCGAGCUCAACUCGGGAACUGCGUCCGAUACUGGCGGGCUUGAAUCCGGGAGAGGGAUGCGGAAUUCCAGGUGUAGCGGUGAAAUGCGUAGAUAUCCGAAAGAACACCGGAGGCGAAGGCGGCUUGCUGGGCGUGAUCUGACGCUGAGGCGCGAAAGCGUGGGGAGCGAACAGG
Molecule: ribosomal RNA, 253 nt
Filed under: uncultured bacterium
Lineage: Bacteria
Description: partial 16S ribosomal RNA
Rfam family: Bacterial small subunit ribosomal RNA
Source: RNAcentral